This 407-nucleotide ribosomal RNA is filed under the name uncultured bacterium. RNAcentral describes it as "bacterial SSU rRNA". It matches the Rfam family "Bacterial small subunit ribosomal RNA", at positions 355 to 776 of the family's 1533-position model. The record is from RNAcentral.
UGGGGAAUCUUCCGCAAUGGGCGAAAGCCUGACGGAGCAACGCCGCGUGGGUGAAGAAGGCCUUCGGGUUGUAAAGCCCUGUCUUCAGGGAAGAAGAAAGUGACGGUACCUGAGGAGGAAGCCACGGCUAACUACGUGCCAGCAGCCGCGGUAAUACGUAGGUGGCAAGCGUUGUCCGGAAUCAUUGGGCGUAAAGGGCGCGUAGGCGGUCAAUUAAGUCAGAUGUGAAAACUCUGGGCUUAACCGAGAGAUUGCAUUUGAUACUGGUUGACUUGAGUGCAGGAGAGGACAGUGGAAUUCCUAGUGUAGCGGUGAAAUGCGUAGAUAUUAGGAGGAACACCAGUGGCGAAGGCGGCUGUCUGGACUGUAACUGACGCUGAGGCGCGAAAGCGUGGGGAGCAAACAGG